UUGUUUUUUAAUUAUUUUAUCUUUUAAUAAUUUUUUUUUUGUUAUGAAUAAAUUUUUGUUCUAGUAUCUUUUGGAGAAUAGAUUUUUUUUAUUAUAGUUUAUUGUACUGUGAAGGGUUUUAUUUUUUAUAGGUAAAGAAGGCUUUAUUUGUUGUACCUUUUGUAUCAGGGUUUAUUAAUUUUUUAAUACUUAUUUAUUUUUCCCGAAAUUAGAAGAGUUACAUUUUAAUGUUUUUUAACGUUUCAUAGUUAUUUAUAAUUUAAUUGUAGAUGAGAUAUUCUAUUCAAUUUUAAAUAUCUGGUUUCUUAAUAUAUGAAUUUAAUUCAGGUUAAUUUUUUAUUUUUCUUACUUUAAUUAGGAUAAUAUUUUAUUUUCUAAUACUCUUGGGGAUAAGCUCGGGUUUAUUUUUAAAACUUAUAUUUAUUUGGAAUGGUUUGUAGGCUUAAUACCAGCCAUCUUUAUAUUUCGUUAUAGUUUAUUUUUUCUUAUUUUAAUUUUUAUUUGUUUAGUUUAUUAUUAAGGGUUGGGUUUUAAUUUUUUAUUCUUUUAUAAUGAUAAAAUUAGUAUUGUUGUUAAUUAAAUUAUAGGAAUUCGGCAAAUUUUAUUUCCGCCUGUUUAACAAAAACAUGUCCUUUAGUUAUUUAUUUGAGGUUUGACCUGCCCAAUGAUUUUUUAAUGGCCGCGGUAUAUUAACCGUGCAAAGGUAGCAUAAUCAUUUGUCUCUUAAUUGGAGGCUGGAAUGAAUGGUUGGACGAGAAAUAUGCUUUCUUUUUUUUAUUUUAUGAAUUUUAUUUUCUAGUUAAAAAGCUGGAAUUUUUUUGUAGGACGAGAAGACCCUAUAGAAUUUUAUAGUUUUUGUAAUGUCAUCUCUUUUGGUUUAUUAUUGGAUUUCAUUUAUUAUCUAUUUUGUUGGGGCGACAGGUAAAUUUUUUUAACUUUUCUUUUUUUCUUUCAUUAAUUUAUGUUUUUAUGAUCCGUUUAUUUACGAUUAAAAGAUUAAAUUACCUUAGGGAUAACAGCGUUAUUUUUUUGGAGAGUUCUUAUCGAUAAAGGAGUUUGCGACCUCGAUGUUGAAUUAAGAUUAGUCUUGGGGGUAGUUUUUCAAGUUACUAGGUCUGUUCGACCUUUAAAUUCUUACAUGAUUUGAGUUCAGACCGGCGUGAGCCAGGUUGGUUUCUAUCCUUAAUUUUAUUUAAGCUUUUUAGUACGAAAGGACCAAUGGCUUGGAAUAAUUUUUGUUUUUAUUGAUUGUUAUU
Molecule: ribosomal RNA, 1256 nt
Filed under: Laccotrephes robustus
Lineage: Eukaryota; Metazoa; Arthropoda; Insecta; Hemiptera; Nepidae
Description: 16S ribosomal RNA
Rfam family: Archaeal large subunit ribosomal RNA (bases 824-1182)
Source: RNAcentral